Non-coding RNA from Strongyloides stercoralis, 46 nucleotides. The record is from Rfam. Lineage: Eukaryota; Metazoa; Nematoda; Chromadorea; Rhabditida; Strongyloididae.
CCAAAGGCCCUCUUUAGGGCCACCAAAACUUACUUUUCUCGAUCUU